Molecule: ribosomal RNA, 427 nt
Filed under: uncultured bacterium
Lineage: Bacteria
Description: partial 16S ribosomal RNA
Rfam family: Bacterial small subunit ribosomal RNA
Source: RNAcentral
UAGGGAAUCUUCCGCAAUGGGCGAAAGCCUGACGGAGCAACGCCGCGUGAGUGAUGAAGGUCUUCGGAUCGUAAAACUCUGUUAUUAGGGAAGAACAUAUGUGUAAGUAACUGUGCACAUCUUGACGGUACCUAAUCAGAAAGCCACGGCUAACUACGUGCCAGCAGCCGCGGUAAUACGUAGGUGGCAAGCGUUAUCCGGAAUUAUUGGGCGUAAAGCGCGCGUAGGCGGUUUUUUAAGGCUGAUGUGAAAGCCCACGGCUCAACCGUGGAGGGUCAUUGGAAACUGGAAAACUUGAGUGCAGAAGAGGAAAGUGGAAUUCCAUGUGUAGCGGUGAAAUGCGCAGAGAUAUGGAGGAACACCAGUGGCGAAGGCGACUUUCUGGUCUGUAACUGACGCUGAUGUGCGAAAGCGUGGGGAUCAAACA